This 646-nucleotide long non-coding RNA is filed under the name Phoenix dactylifera (date palm). RNAcentral's name for it is "long non-coding RNA (PDAC_LNC001590)". The record is from RNAcentral. Lineage: Eukaryota; Viridiplantae; Streptophyta; Magnoliopsida; Arecales; Arecaceae.
CCAAACAUUGCCCCAAGUUAAAAAGAACCACGAAGUGAUUUCUAGAAUUUGGAUGCCAAAACUGAAUGAACAAUGAACUCCUAGGAGCCAUUUUUAUGAUUUCCAAUGCUCUCUCUUUCUCAAGCCAUCCUAGAGGGAUUGGAGGUUUGGCAAGAAGCUAGAAUAUUCUUAUCAAAAAAUAAAAAUCUAACUUAUUCAUGAAAUUAAUGACUUUCUUUUUAAAAUUUUCAUCCUCUCUUUUAAUGAUAAAAAUACACAUCUUUCGUCUCUUUUUAAAAGCACAUUCAACCUAAAGUUAUUUCAAAAGGUGUAGCCAAGUGAAAAUAGGGAAUAUCUUAUGGUAAAUUCAUAUUAGAAAUUUACUGGCAUAUUAAUAAUGCUUCUGCAUCCUUAACUGCACUCCAACCUAUAUGUCGUUAUUAUUUGAAGUGCUUUGUUUCACUGAUUGCUUUUAUGAACUUAUGAAGUUACCUUGGGCACCUCUGUUGACCCAUCUUUUUCUUUUUCUGUCUUUCUUCCCCCCAGUAGUCUAAGCGACCACAUUUGUUUUUCUUACUACUAAGCUCCUCUCGUUGUUAUCCAUCUAUGAGAUAGUUAAUGAAUAAUUUAUCCAGGUACCCGAAUGAACCCGUCUCCUUAUCUCGAC